AGGACGAACGCUGGCGGCGUGCCUAACACAUGCAAGUCGAACGAGGUCCAACCGGUAGCAAUACUGGGAACGAUCGAGUGGCGAACGGGUGAGUAGCACGUGAGCAACCUGCCCCGAAGACCGGGACAACACCGGGAAACCGGUGCUAAUACCGGAUAUCCCCACCGAAUCGCAUGGUUUGGUGAGGAAAUGGAUUCCGCUUCGGGAGGGGCUCGCGGCCUAUCAGCUUGUUGGUGAGGUAACGGCUCACCAAGGCUUCGACGGGUAGCUGGUCUGAGAGGACGAUCAGCCACACUGGGACUGAGACACGGCCCAGACUCCUACGGGAGGCAGCAGUGGGGAAUCUUGCACAAUGGGCGAAAGCCUGAUGCAGCAACGCCGCGUGAGGGACGAAGGCUUUCUGAGUUGUAAACCUCUUUCAGCAGGGACGAUUGUGACGGUACCUGCAGAAGAAGCCCCGGCCAACUACGUGCCAGCAGCCGCGGUAAUACGUAGGGGGCAAGCGUUGUCCGGAUUUAUUGGGCGUAAAGAGCUCGUAGGCGGCUUGGCAAGUCGGAUGUGAAACCUCCAGGCUCAACCUGGAGUCGCCAUUCGAUACUGCCAUGGCUAGAGUUUGGUAGGGGACCACGGAAUUCCUGGUGUAGCGGUGAAAUGCGCAGAUAUCAGGAGGAACACCAGCGGCGAAGGCGGUGGUCUGGGCCAAUACUGACGCUGAGGAGCGAAAGCGUGGGGAGCGAACAGGAUUAGAUACCCUGGUAGUCCACGCCGUAAACGUUGGGCACUAGGUGUGGGGACCUAUCGACGGUUUCUGUGCCGCAGCUAACGCAUUAAGUGCCCCGCCUGGGGAGUACGGCCGCAAGGCUAAA
Molecule: ribosomal RNA, 866 nt
Filed under: uncultured bacterium
Lineage: Bacteria
Description: bacterial SSU rRNA
Rfam family: Bacterial small subunit ribosomal RNA
Source: RNAcentral